GCUUCCCGCCUAGUGAGCGCACCUUGGACCCCUGCGGCUUUUCUGAGCCGAAACUCACGGGCUGUGGCCGGCUUCGUUUCGCGUCGUGCAGCUCCGCGACCGCCCGUGGCCACACCAGUCGGGGACUUCGUGCUUUACGAUGGGGGUGCAGCGGUCUGGCACGCGCAGGACCCCGGGCCUUGCACCCCAACUCUGGCCGCCCUGGACCCGCGGCGGGGACCCGCGCAGUCAGGGUACCUGCCCAUACCGAUGGGGUGGGGACCAGCACGGAGACUUUCCUUCACUCCGCGGCUUCUGUUCCUUUCAGGACGGACAGCGCCCACCCGGAGGAAAGCCUGACAGACGAGACUUCGCAAGAUCACCCAGCAACCAGGACACCCCUCCAGGACCAGGACUACAGCCAGGGUCUGUGUAUGCAGACGUGGCCGGGCCUGGCCGGCCUGCCCUAACUGGAAAGGAGGUCAAGCCGCGCACCUAAGGCUGGGCUGGCACCUCCGCUGAGCCAGCUCUGGGUCUGCAGGGGUUGGGGGGGGGUCUCUGGCAACUGGACCCUGAGUUCCUGCAACCCCUUCCUUUGCUCUCCUUGCCUGGGGGGAGAGUGAGGAGAGACUGGCUCUUCUGCUCAUGGUGUCCUUGGUCCCCGACCUCUGGAUGGCCAUGUCUCCACCCCCCACGGAGUCACCACCCAGCCUCACGAAUUCCUGGUCAUCUUGAAAAACCCAGUGCAGUGGUCAGGUCCCCACAGGAUCUCAGGGGCUCUGCCAGAGCCCCGGUCCAGCGGUCAGGCCCCCACCAACUGUGGUCACGGUGCACCUCCGUCCCCGGCAUGGGGGGCCCUGACCCCCUACACCAGCCUGUUGGGCCCCUGGCAGGGUCUGCUGAGGCCUCUGCGCCUGGCACAGCUCCCACCUCUGCUUAGGAAGGGCAAACCCUGGGCUCUGACUCUUGCCCCAGCGUUGUGAGGUGACUGAGAGGCUGCCCCAGGAAAGCAGAGAGUGAUGGUGACUCAGGGGACCCCCAUGUCCUUGCCCAGAACUCCCCAGGGGUUCAGCCGACCUACUGCCACCAGUUCCCAGUGGAAGCCCCUCAGCCCCCAGGUGUGAGGGCAUGGGCAGUGGGGCAGGGCAGGAGCCUGGAUG
Molecule: long non-coding RNA, 1139 nt
Filed under: Pan troglodytes (chimpanzee)
Lineage: Eukaryota; Metazoa; Chordata; Mammalia; Primates; Hominidae
Description: long non-coding RNA NONPTRT000024
Source: RNAcentral